GGGCGCGUGGCGGAAUGGCAGACGCGUACGGCUUAGGACCGUAUGGUGAAAAUCGUGGAGGUUCAACUCCUCUCGCGCCCA
Molecule: transfer RNA, 81 nt
Filed under: Elusimicrobia bacterium RIFOXYA2_FULL_39_19
Lineage: Bacteria; Pseudomonadati; Elusimicrobiota
Description: tRNA-Leu
Rfam family: tRNA
About the family: Transfer RNA (tRNA) molecules are approximately 80 nucleotides in length.
Source: RNAcentral